UACAGAGGGUGCAAACGUUGUUCGGAAUUACUGGGCGUAAAGCGCGUGUAGGCUGCUCUGCAAGUCGGAUGUGAAAGCCCUGGGCUCAACCUAGGAAGUGCACUCGAAACUGCAGAGCUGGAGUCCUGGAGAGGAAGGCGGAAUUCUCGGUGUAGAGGUGAAAUUCGUAGAUAUCGAGAGGAACACCGGUGGCGAAGGCGGCCUUCUGGACAGUGACUGACGCUGAGACGCGAAAGCGUGGGGAGCAAACAGG
RNAcentral lists this ribosomal RNA (253 nucleotides) under uncultured bacterium. RNAcentral's name for it is "partial 16S ribosomal RNA". It matches the Rfam family "Bacterial small subunit ribosomal RNA", at positions 524 to 776 of the family's 1533-position model. The record is from RNAcentral.